CUAUCACUUUGGGAUGGACCUGCGGUGCAUUAGCUUGUUGGUAGGGUAACGGCCUACCAAGGCGAUGAUGCAUAGCCGAGUUGAGAGACUGAUCGGCCACAAUGGAACUGAGACACGGUCCAUACUCCUACGGGAGGCAGCAGUAGGGAAUCUUCCACAAUGGGCGCAAGCCUGAUGGAGCAACACCGCGUGAGUGAAGAAGGGUUUCGGCUCGUAAAGCUCUGUUGUUAGAGAAGAACGUGUAUGAGAGUAACUGUUCAUGCAGUGACGGUAUUUAACCAGAAAGUCACGGCUAACUACGUGCCAGCAGCCGCGGUAAUACGUAGGUGGCAAGCGUUAUCCGGAUUUAUUGGGCGUAAAGAGAGCGCAGGCGGUUUGAUAAGUCUGAUGUGAAAGCCUUYGGCUUAACCRAAGAAGUGCAUCGGAAACUGUCWRACUUGAGUGCAGAAGAGGACAGUGGAACUCCAUGUGUAGCGGUGGAAUGCGUAGAUAUAUGGAAGAACACCAGUGGCGAAGGCGGCUGCCUGGUCUGCAACUGACGCUGAGGCUCGAAAGCAUGGGUAGCGAACAGGAUUAGAUACCCUGGUAGUCCAUGCCGUAAACGAUGAGUGCUAGGUGUUGGAGGGUUUCCGCCCUUCAGUGCCGCAGCUAACGCAUUAAGCACUCCGCCUGGGGAGUACGACCGCAAGGUUGAAACUCAAAGGAAUUGACGGGGGCCCGCACAAGCGGUGGAGCAUGUGGUUUAAUUCGAAGCUACGCGAAGAACCUUACCAGGUCUUGACAUCUUGCGCCAACCCUAGAGAUAGGGCGUUUCCUUCGGGAACGCAAUGACAGGUGGUGCAUGGUCGUCGUCAGCUCGUGUCGUGAGAUGUUGGGUUAAGUCCCGCAACGAGCGCAACCCUUGUUACUAGUUGCCAGCAUUAAGUUGGGCACUCUAGUGAGACUGCCGGUGACAAACCGGAGGAAGGUGGGGACGACGUCAGAUCAUCAUGCCCCUUAUGACCUGGGCUACACACGUGCUACAAUGGACGGUACAACGAGUCGCGAACUCGCGAGGGCAAGCUAAUCUCUUAAAACCGUUCUCAGUUCGGACUGCAGGCUGCAACUCGCCUGCACGAAGUCGGAAUCGCUAGUAAUCGCGGAUCA
RNAcentral lists this ribosomal RNA (1146 nucleotides) under Limosilactobacillus mucosae. RNAcentral describes it as "bacterial SSU rRNA". It matches the Rfam family "Bacterial small subunit ribosomal RNA", at positions 212 to 1351 of the family's 1533-position model. The record is from RNAcentral. Lineage: Bacteria; Bacillati; Bacillota; Bacilli; Lactobacillales; Lactobacillaceae.